Molecule: ribosomal RNA, 498 nt
Filed under: uncultured bacterium
Lineage: Bacteria
Description: partial 16S ribosomal RNA
Rfam family: Bacterial small subunit ribosomal RNA
Source: RNAcentral
GACGAACGCUGGCGGCGUGCCUAAUACAUGCAAGUCGAACGAGAGCGACCGGUGCUUGCACUGGUCAAUCUAGUGGCGAACGGGUGAGUAACACGUGGGUAACCUGCCCAUCAGAGGGGGAUAACAUUCGGAAACGGAUGCUAAAACCGCAUAGGUCUUCGAACCGCAUGGUUUGAAGAGGAAAAGAGGCGCAAGCUUCUGCUGAUGGAUGGACCCGCGGUGCAUUAGCUAGUUGGUGAGGUAACGGCUCACCAAGGCCGUGAUGCAUAGCCGACCUGAGAGGGUGAUCGGCCACAUUGGAACUGAGACACGGCCCAAACUCCUACGGGAGGCAGCAGUAGGGAAUCUUCCGCAAUGGACGCAAGUCUGACGGAGCAACGCCGCGUGAGUGAAGAAGGUUUUCGGAUCGUAAAACUCUGUUGUUAGAGAAGAACAAGUGCUAGAGUAACUGUUAGCGCCUUGACGGUAUCUAACCAGAAAGCCACGGCUAACUACGUG